GCCUGAGAGGGCGACCGGCCACACUGGGACUGAGACACGGCCCAGACUCCUACGGGAGGCAGCAGUGGGGAAUAUUGCACAAUGGGCGAAAGCCUGAUGCAGCGACGCCGCGUGAGGGAUGACGGCCUUCGGGUUGUAAACCUCUUUCAGCAGGGAAGAAGCGAGAGUGACGGUACCUGCAGAAGAAGCGCCGGCUAACUACGUGCCAGCAGCCGCGGUAAUACGUAGGGCGCAAGCGUUGUCCGGAAUUAUUGGGCGUAAAGAGCUCGUAGGCGGCUUGUCACGUCGGUUGUGAAAGCCCGGGGCUUAACCCCGGGUCUGCAGUCGAUACGGGCAGGCUAGAGUUCGGUAGGGGAGAUCGGAAUUCCUGGUGUAGCGGUGAAAUGCGCAGAUAUCAGGAGGAACACCGGUGGCGAAGGCGGAUCUCUGGGCCGAUACUGACGCUGAGGAGCGAAAGCGUGGGGAGCGAACAGGAUUAGAUACCCUGGUAGUCCACGCCGUAAACGGUGGGCACUAGGUGUGGGCAACAUUCCACGUUGUCCGUGCCGCAGCUAACGCAUUAAGUG
Molecule: ribosomal RNA, 566 nt
Filed under: Micromonospora sp. ULMA36
Lineage: Bacteria; Bacillati; Actinomycetota; Actinomycetes; Micromonosporales; Micromonosporaceae
Description: bacterial SSU rRNA
Rfam family: Bacterial small subunit ribosomal RNA
Source: RNAcentral